Molecule: long non-coding RNA, 3640 nt
Filed under: Malus domestica (apple)
Lineage: Eukaryota; Viridiplantae; Streptophyta; Magnoliopsida; Rosales; Rosaceae
Description: long non-coding RNA (MDOM_LNC018612)
Source: RNAcentral
GCCAUGAUAUAUGGUUAGAUGUCACUCAUGGCUUGUGAGUUCUUCUAGAUGAUUAAAUAAGUAGUCCUCAAAGAAGAAGGAGAAUUAAAAGUAAGUUUUAAUUCACUAAGUGAUUGGAUUAAAUAUAGUCAAUUGGAUUGGUGCCAAUCACCUCACUGCCUUGCUAAUUAGAACCUAAAAUGAUUGUACACCGAUACACUCUUUUAGUGAGACUACUAAUGGAUGAUGGAAAUAAUUAAUUGGAUUAAUUAAGUGUUGUGAUUAAUUAGAAAGUCUAAAGAAAUCAUAAAAGCGAUAAAAGAUCAUUUUGGGCUUAAAGAAAAGUUCGGGUUCAUUUGGGCCCAUUGGGCCCAAACCCAUUGGGUCCUUUUAUUCAAGCAUAGGAUGACUUGAAAUAAUAAAAGCCCAAAAGCCCAAACAACACAAAGGGGCCGGCCAAAUAAAGGGAAAGGGAGAGAGAGGGAGUCAAGUGGUUGGCUAACUUUCUUUGAGAUAUAAAAGGAACUUUUAGUGAAAAGUUUCAUUAGGGUUUUUGUGUGUUCUUUUCACAUAAGAAGAAAAUAUCUCUCUCUCUAAAUUCCCACACAAAGGCCGGCCACCAUAAGGGAGAUUUUAGCUAAUCAUCUUCUCUCCCUUUUGGUCAUUCCUCCAUCCAUCUCACUACACUAGUGGGUGUGGAUCUUUAGAGGUCUUCAACCUUGGAGACUAAAGGAGAACCAAGGAGCACUCAUUCUAGCAAGGUGGAGGAAGCAAGGAGGGAGGCUAGGCUCAAGGAGUUCCAAGAACAAAGAGCUUGGAGGUGGUCCAUCCUUGGUCUCAAGUCUAGAUCAAGAGGUAUAAAACUAUACCUUCACUUUGUUCUUCAAUAAAAUGUUUAGAUGCAUCAUAUAUGAACCUAUGCUUCUUGAAGGGGAUUUGCAUGACUAUAGCUUUGAUAUUAUGUGAUAACAUGCUUCCGUUGCUAAUGUAUAUAAAUUUUGAAUUGUAUAUACAUGCUAGUCACUAGAAGUCCCACAUAAAUCUCAUUAUUUCCCUUCAAGUAGUGCCUCUUCGAAAUCAGGAGAGUGGUGCCUCUUCGAUUUUUGAACCAAUGGCCCUGUUGCCCUUUCUUUUAUAAGGGCACCAAUUGUGUGCAAGAAGUACAUUCAGAGAGUUAUUGCUUGUAGGAAAUUUCCCCUUACUUCAGAGAUUUAUUGCACCUCAUUUCUCCUUCAUCAUUUCUGAGAAUGUCUGGCCCAUCCGACCGUCGUUUUGACUUGAACUUUGGUGAAGAGGCAGCAAUGCCUUCUCAAGACAACAUAUGGCGUCCAUCCUUCUUAUCUUCUACUGGUCAUCUUACCAUUGGGGACUCUGUGAUGAAGAAUGAUAUGACCGCUGCGAUGGUGGCCAGGAACCUUCUCACUCCCAAAGAUAACAGACUACUUUCCAAACGGUCUGAUGAGUUGGCUGUUAAGGAUUCUCUGGCUCUCAGUGUUCAGUGUGCAGGUUCUGUGUCUAAUAUGGCCCAACGCCUAUUUGCUCGAACCGCCAAGUUGAAUCAUUGGCGGCUGAAGUGAUAAGUCUCAAACAGGAGAUCAGUGGUCUUAAGCAUAAGAAUAAACAGUUGCACAUGCUCGCACAUGACUAUGCUACAAACAUGAAGAGGAAGCUCGACCAGCUGCAGGAAUCUGAUGGUCAGAUUUUACUUGAUCAUCAUAGGUUUGUGGGUUUGUUCCAAAGGCAUUUAUUGCCUUUGUCUUCUGGGGCUGUACUGCGUAAUGAAGUUCCAAAUGAUUAACCUUCGGUGCCUCCUCCUUCUGGUGUUUUGCCUAGUACUGAGGCUCCGAAUAAUCACUCUAUGGUGCCUCCUCUUUCUAGGGCUCUGCCGACUGCUGAUACUUCUCCUAAGCAACCUUUGUGAAGGCUCCCUCUUGUUUGUUUAUUUUGAUUCAUGUAUAUGUACAUAUUUGUAACUUAUCGGAGAUAUCAAUAAACAAGCUUUGCUUCAUUUCAACGUAUUGUGUUAAAUACAUCAAUAGACAAGUUCUUUGAAUUUUUCCUUUUUUUAAAGCUUGUAUGUUGAAGCUUUGUGAGUGAAGCAUGUAGGUUGAGGUAGUGCUCCCUUAAUUUCCCGAGUAAGGAAAACUUCUCGUUUGGAGACUUCAAAAAUCCAAGUCACUGAGUAGUCGUGAGACUUCCAAGUAUCAAGGAGCAGUAGCAUAUGGUAGGAGUCCCCCAAGUCUCUGUCGGAGAUAUGCCCUGAAAGUCAAUCUUUGGAAGAAACCUUUCAGGACAAUGAAUGAGUGUAUAGAUGACUCUUAUACAUCAAAAGGCAAAGAUACUAAUUAUGACUAUCUCAGUAAACGAUAUAUAUCCUAAAUAGUGAAUCCAUGGACAAUGGAUCGAUGGAAGAAGUAAUCUAAUGAUGUUAGACUACAGAGACCUUCUUCUCAUAACCAUCAUGUCCAAAAGGUUCCUGGUCAUAAGGAUUGUCAGAGGGAUACUGACAAUGCAUAGACCAGUACAUACUAUGUCCCUUCAAUUGAAAGGAUGGAAAGUCUCAUCCCAUUCGUGUAGUGACACUAAGACAGGUAUGUAGGUGCUCAUUAAGGGAAUGAGUUCACUAAACACAAUCAAACGAGAGUACUUGCAUGGAGGUCUACUCACAUGUCAAGCAAGUAACUCUAAUGGUUGGAAUAAUGUAAGUAAUCAUUUGACCUGAGACAUCAUAGUUGUCUUGGGGAUACGUUGCUGAUCAUUUUGAUAAUGAGACGUGACCACACCUCAUCUUGGGUGUGUUCUAUGCAUUGUUGGGGUCAGUGGCUUAGUCUCAGAGGCAUAUGAAUGAUCAACAAGGGAUCUCUAAUCCUCGUUACGAGAGGAUGAAUACUCUAAGAUAUGAUUCGGGAAUCUUCAGCCGAAGUAUCGAGCAUAAUAAAGGAAAGCGUUCCUAUACGACUCAAUUGAAUCAUAUAACAUGGAAUAAUCACAUUAGGGGUUUGACAUAAUAUAUCCAUACCCUAAUAAUGUGAUUGAGAGUAUUGUUUUAGAGAAUGAUCAAAUUACAUUGUAAUUCCAACUGAAUAGGUUCUCCGAACAAAUUCUACAUUAGCUUGGGUAGCCAUGAUAUAUGGUUAGAUGUCACUCAUGGGUUGUGAGUUCUUCUAGAUGAUUAAAAUAAGUAGUCGUCAAAGAAGAAGGAGAAUUAAAAGUAAGUUUUAAUUCACUAAGUGAUUGGAUUAAAUAUAAUCAAUUGGAUUGGUGCCAAUCACCUCACUGCCUUGCUAAUUAGAACCUAAAAUGAUUGUACACCGAUACACUCUUGUAGUGAGACAACUAUUGGAUGAUGGAAAUAAUUAAUUGGAUUAAUUAAGUGUUGUGAUUAAUUAGAAAGUCUAAAGAAAUCAUAAAAGCGAUAAAAGAUCGUUUUGGACUUAAAGAAAAGUUCGGGUUAAUAUGGGCCCAUUAAGCCCAAACCCAUUGGGCUUUUAUUUAAGCAUAGGAUGACUUGAAAUGAUAAAAGCCCAAAGCCCAAACAACACUAAAGGGGCCGGCCAAAUAAAGGGAAAGAGAGAGAGAGGGAGUCAAGUUGUUGGCUAACUAUCUUUGAGAUAUAAAAGGAACUUUUAGUGAAAAGUUUCAUUAGGGUUUUGUGUGUUCA